Molecule: unclassified non-coding RNA, 7903 nt
Filed under: Octopus sinensis (East Asian common octopus)
Lineage: Eukaryota; Metazoa; Mollusca; Cephalopoda; Octopoda; Octopodidae
Description: protein bark beetle-like, transcript variant X1
Source: RNAcentral
GUCAGGCUGAUCGUGUCACAUGACCAAUGCUUGCCUAUGAUACCUGUGUUAAGUCCACAGGUAAAAGAAAAAAAAAAAGCUAAUUAGGUCAGGUAAGUUUUCUCACAUCGAUUCAACCGGAUUUAAAGAAAAAAUAACCACAACAGAGGAAACAGACUUCUUAUCUCUUACAGGGACCACUUUUACAAAUACCCCUAUUCGGACAGUUCAUGUAAAAACUUAUAUCUAUAUAUAUAUCCGCAGGGGAUUCGAACAGGUGCGCGUUAACGGACUGUUCAGUUUUAAAUGAAAAACAUGUAGAUGUUUUAACAUCCAGUUACUGUACUAAUAUAUAUAUAUAUGUAUACUCGGGGAAAGAAGAUCCACCUGUAGACAGGAAGCAUGGCGAAAUACCUGGUGUUACUCUGUAAUGUCUGCUUCGGCUUUCUCUUCUGUAUUUCCAUUUCCCCGUUGUUACGGGUUCGAGCCCGAGAAGGAAUAACACCACCGCCGAGAACAGGCGAUAACAAACCAAUUGUAGCCAACGGAAGGGUAUAUUAUCUCGACUAUAUACCCAGGCGAUGUUGGACCCCGAUUAUAACGAAAUACCCGUACGGAGGACGCGUAGACCAACCCCGAGCUUUGAUGAAAAAGGACAACCCCCACAAAAUUAAAGGAUCCAUACAAAUUGCCCCCAGCGGUUGCUUGUACAUCGAACCGGGCUGUCGUUUAGAGUUCGCUCCUGGUCAGGGACUUAUCGUCAAUGGUACCCUCAUUGCUAGGGGAAGUGAAGAGGUUGGUGGACGGAUAGUGUUCACGAAGGAUCGUGACUACGAUGAUGUCGUAGGGAAGCAACGGCCCUGGAGGACAGAUGCUCGGCUUGUGGAUGGAAAUACAACAAUGGACGGAAGGUUGGAGUUGUUCUAUCAGCAGAAAUGGCGGGGUGUUUGCACCAAUUAUAACAAUUUUACCAAAGAAGAUGCAAAUGUGACUUGUCGACACUUGGGGUUCCUCAAAGGCAACUUUACUUACCAUUCCUUCUCUCAGAAUGUCUCUGAUUACCUACUGUUGGAAAAACCAAACUGUACAGGCAGUGAAGAUUCUCUCCCGGAAUGUUCUGGAUGGACAACCAUCAAAGCAGGGCUUCAUAUCUGUGAUGGUCAGCAGACAAUCGGGUUUGAGUGUGAAGGUUUCCAGCCUGGUGUUGCCGUGACGCAUUGGCGGGGUAUUGAGUUCUAUAAUUCUUCCACACAAUUUGUCACUAAUGAAACAAUCAACACAAAGAUGGAAGAAUCUGAUUCCAGUAUUUGGUACUCUGACGUAGAGUAUGCAGGUUUGGAUGUCUUCCGUGAAGGAGUACUGGGCAUUAACCAUCCAUAUGCCUCUAUUAGCGCCAGUCCUUUUGUACCAUUCAUGGACAAUGUCACAAUAUCCAACGGAGCCUACGAUGCCUUAAAUUUCACUUAUAUUCUUGGCAAAGUCAACGUGCAAAAUUGUACAAUUCAAGACAACAGAGGUCAUGGUAUGUAUGUAAAGUCAGUGGUAGGUGAAGUCAAGAUAGAAAAAUCCGUGAUCCAGCGCAACUGGGGAGAUGGAAUCAAGUUUUACAGCAUCAACAAGACUUUGCCCCAUGAUUUCGACAGACUUUUCAGUCAACCUUAUUUCUUCUGUAAACGUGUACAACUUUCCUACAACCGCUAUCCAAUCUAUUUGGGAGAGCAGGUUGUUCACACAAACUCCUAUGAUAUUGCGGUUCCUGGAUGCGAGCAUACUUUUACAACCCGUGAAAACAUGCAACUUACCUUGCACUUCCUGUUGCUGGAGACUGACCCCGAGAGUGAAGGUGAACUAAUCAUAUCUUAUGGAGAUGUUGGUAAAACGAUGACAAAGACGGUGCCAAUACGGAAUGGUAGCUACCCUCAGUCAAUCACAACUCUCUCCAAUGUUAUAAAAAUCAAUUUCAAUUUCAAAAGACGAGGAUACUGUUCCGUCUUUAAAUAUUGUAUAAGGUUCUUACUUCGACUCUCAACCAAUUUUGGUCCAACCCCAGACUUUUGGAUCACCGAAUCUAAUGUUUCCAACAAUAAUCACCAUGGCAUUUCUGUUCAAGACAUGAGAUGCUUAAUCUGGGUCAAUUCCACCCGAAUAAUGAAUAAUGGUUAUGAAGCAGGUCUGCGAGUAUUCCAAGGAGCAGGGAUUGUCAAUGUUAACAAUACCCUUCUGCAAAACAAUGCCCUUGCUGGUGCCAACAUCACAUAUUCUGGUGGUCGAAUCUUGUUUAAUCACACUAGAGCUAUCGGUAACCAAGGUUAUGGUGUCUACUUGGAAUUCUUGAAACUUAACAGAUCUCGUAUAGAACAAGGUUUAGAUAUAUAUUCCUACUCCAGUAAAUUUUCCGAAAAUUCUUUGGCAGCAUUUCGUGUUGGUAAUUACUGUAAGUCAGCAGAUGUGCUUAUUGAUAAAAGUUUCUUUGAAAAUAACCUGCGAGAGGCUAUAGAAUACUUGUCUUGUAAUACCACUUCUCCGACGACCAAUUUUUCUGUAACGAUGAGUCAGUUUGUUUCGAAUGGGAAACAAGCUAUAUUAAUGGCACCGAUAUUAAAUACUCGUGGCAAAAUAGCCAAUAAUACCUUCAGGGACCAUUUAAAUGGUGCUCUUCUAAUGAACAAUGGGGAAGAUAUACUCGUGUCUCGUUGGUAUGCUAAGUUCCCUGUAGAUUAUGAUAUGUAUGGUAAUGAAUUUAGGGAUAAUCAUGGUCCUUAUGCCGUUAACAUCAGGCUUACCGAAGAGUCUUCUGAACAAUCGUUAAUGUUUAUAAAUAAUAAACUGUUGGACAAUAAUAUUCAAAAUUCAUUUCCUUUUCUAAACCCUCGUUCCAAAGCAAAUGCAGUUCUAAUAAUUUCGUCAAGUAAAGUGGUUGCAGUAUUGAACAUAAUCUCUAACCCAAAUUCAACUCGAGAAAUGGCAACGCAUUUAACCGAUCCGUCUAAAACAAUCGAUGCCACAAUGAAUUACUGGGGUUCUCCUGAUUAUCAAAAUUUCUAUCUCAGAAUAUUUGACCGAGAUGACCGUUAUAACCUGGCUAUCAUCAAUUUCUUCCCGGCAUUAGCUGACGAGCGGAUUUUUGGGGAUCGUCAAGUCACUCCAGCACUUAAGCCAGACUCAAAAAACAUUUUCCUGCGAGGUCAAAUCAUUGGCGGAGAACUGAAAGAAAAUAAAGUAUUACCGAAAGGUUUUUACACUGUUGAUAAAGAUAUCUACAUUGAGCCGGAAGCAACAUUGACCAUUCCACCUGGAACAGAGCUCUCGUUUCAGAACUCUGUCGGUAUGAUAGUGUACGGGGCACUGGUUGCAGAUGGAAGGAAAGAAGAUUGGGUUAGGUUCUCUCUUGAAGACAACUACGAUACCGUUGUUGAGAACAUGACAUUUCCAAUUCGAUUGGUUGAUGGCACCACUGAACAAGAAGGCCGUCUUGAAGUGGAACUCGGUGGCACCUGGGGAACAGUUUGCAAUAAGGGUUGGACUGAACAGAACUCUGUUGUAGCGUGCAACCAGCUGGGGUUAGCAUAUAACCCUCGGUUUGGUCAACCACAAGUGAAAGCCUCAGCCCCUACAUCGUCAUCAAUCCUAUUAAACUGGGUUUCGUGUACAGAGGAAGACACUGAUUUGACCAAAUGCUUAUCUGAUUCCCAGACCCCGAUAGAUUGUUCCCAUGACCAAGACGUUUUCAUACAUUGCCAAAUUCCAACAUGGUCAGGGAUCACUCUGGCCGCAGUUCCGAAGAUCAAAGACCGACAGGAGACCCAACUUCGAAGUGUUAUGAUCGAUAGAGCCGGCAUGCACGAUCACUCAACCAUGCAUUUCUCGUCGGCCUUGCAGAUCGACUACAAUUACUAUGACAUUAGCAAUGUUACCGUGACGGAAUCCAGUGCCGAUGGAAUCUAUGUUAGACUUAACCACCCGUACACCAACAACCGAAUGGAACACUGUAAUGUACACAGGAGCCAGGGUCAUGGUCUUGUUACAAAAUACCCAUUUUUGGAAACUGCAUACAGUACAUUCCGUGACAAUUUCCUCAGUGGUUUCACAUACGAUCCAUUCUUCACCGAAGCCGAAGCGAUUGGUAUACGGAACUUCAUGAGAUCCGAUCAGGUUACCGUCCUAAAGGAAAGCCAAUCUUUCCCUCUCACGCAAGAAACCACCCUGUUUAUAACCGAACCGGGAAAGUUCAGGAUCGACAAAGAAUUCACUUAUGUGAUAAAAUCAACCGAUUACAAGUUAAGGCCAACCAUCCAGAUCUUGAACUAUAACCCCGUGACCAGUGUCGAGAAGGUGACGGUGAUCAAUAAUAACAAGAAGUAUUAUAUAGAGGAAGACCUUAUUGAUUUCCCUCUCAUGUCGUCCGGAAAUCUUCUCACUGUUGUGCUUCGUGUGUCCGGAACGAUGAGCGGACGGCUCACAUUUGCCAUUAUAUUAGGACAACGGACUGAGGUGCCAAAACCUGAGAUCUAUCUUCGGAACUGUACAUUGGUCAAUAAUGAUAUUGGUCUUGUGACGAAGCAUUACAAUAAUCCUUCCAACGACAAGCAGGAGCUUUACUUUAGGUUCGGCGAGGAGAGCAUUCGACUGGAUUAUGUGGACAUUCUAAACAGUCGCACUCGUGCAAUGUACGUCCCGAGCGUCACCAAAUACCACGAAAAUUUCAUCCCCACUUACGAAGAACUAACACGCCCGCAAAGAGUUGGCACAAUUUCAUACGUGAUGACUUGGUGCCGUUUCCAAGGAAACAGGCAGGCAAUCAAGGCUGAGCACAACCAUGUAGAAUUUGCCAAUAAUGUUUGGAAAUGGCACAUUACACAUAGCAGCAUCAAAGACAAUAUGGAUGGUGGAUUGGAAAUUGAACUGCCACGCGUUAAUGAUGUGGAAGAACAUCUCAAGCAUUCUGUAGAGAUCAGUCAUACCAUGUUUGAGAUGAACAAAAACUUUGCCUUCAUUGUCAAUGGUUAUUUUGCUGACGUCAAUAUUUCUCAUUCUAUUUGGAAAAAUAAUAUUUGUCGCCUUGGUUUGUUUGAUUUGAUAGGAAUGGAGAAAAACGUCAGCAUGGUGCUAAACGUUUUCGACAAAAAUACCUGCAAAUACAUCGUAAAUUUUGAUAUCAACAGUCACUAUGAGUACAUGUACCCAAUUGUGGGGAACUUUUCCUAUAAUAAACUCUACGACAAUGGUCUUGGAACUGAGACAGGAGGAGAUGAAAAUUUACCAUCAUCAUUUGCUGUUGCACUAAAAGGACUUCAACAAAUGGUUCUAAAUAGAAAUUUGUUUCAAAACCCAAAAUUGAGAUAUGAAUUUAUUGCUGGCGUAACCUGUCUGUCUUUGGAUAGUGUAGUUGAUGUUACUGAAAAUUGGUGGGGAAAUUCUGCCCAAGAUUACAUCCAAUCUAAGAUAUUUGACUUUGAUUCCUGGAACAAUUUUGCAAUCGCCGAAUACAUUCCUUUUCUAAUAGAAAAUCAAUUUGACAGCGUUCCAUUUUCAACUACGAAACAAUAUCCAAUACGUAAUACUUUUGAACUUGGUGGUAGAAUAACCAAAGACGUAUCUUUAUUUGCGUCUGCAACCCAUUAUGAAGUGAUCAAUGACAUCACAGUGAUGCCAGGCGUCACACUUAAGAUUGAACCUGGAGUAGUGUUAAUCUUCAGACCAAAUAUUGGUAUUUUAGUGUUGGGAACCUUGGAUGCAAGAGGUCUUCCCCACCAGCGUAUCAAGCUGUUUCCCAGUUCAGUGAAAACGAAAGAGAAUAACAUACGCAAACGCUCAGUCUCGUUCCAAAUGCAGCAGAUAUCUAAAGAAAAAGCAAGGCUUUCUGGUGGCGCCACAGCAAAUGAAGGCUUUCUGCAGUUUUAUAAUGAUUCCACAAAACAAUGGGAUAUCAUGUGCAAUGAAAGACUUCCAGAGAACGUUGGCAAAGUGAUUUGUCGUCAACUAGGAUUUGAAACUAUAAACGUUAGGGUCUAUACAUCGCAUCUUUUUGAUUAUUAUAUCUAUGGCUUAACCACUUAUUUUACCAAAACCUUUUGGAGGUACUCUUACUACUGCAAAGGGAAUGAAGAUUCCUUAGAUCAAUGCAUCAAGAAGAUCGAUUAUCGGAUCAUGUCUUGUAUCCAGAAUGAAAACUACACAUUUUUGCACUGUGGCAAACGUAACGUUGCAGAAGGAUAUAACUAUUGGGGAAACAUUCGUUUUUCCAGGUCAUCUUAUCAGGAGAAUCUCCAAGAGAAGAAACCGGUAGAGUCAACUAUAAAAUACGUUGAUAUUUACGGUGCUGGAGUACUUCAUGGCAAUAAGGUCGGUGCCAUCCAGUCUGUUUAUCAGACACCAAUUAUUGAACAAGUAAAUAUUAGCGGUUGUGCUUCAAACGGAAUGGAUUUUAUCUCUCCGUUAAAAGACCUUCUCAUUGAAGAGCAAAAUAUCACUGCUAAUCUUGGUUAUGGAAUCAACAUUCUUGUACUGAAUGGGGAUUCUAAAAACGAGAUGGCCUCGUUUUUACCUCUUGUGCAAAGCACAAUACCUUACUUCUUGUUUGGAGUGGUAGAAAUGUGUUUGCUGGAGAAAGAAAUUAUUCUUGAGACCAAGAUGUUGAUUUAUUACAAAUAUUCUUCUAACGCAAUUGACUGCGUCAAGUCAAUUAAAAGCAAAUACAGAGACAAGCAGCUAGCUCUACGCUUCCUGCAAAUGAACUUGUUUUCGGAAGAUUUUAUGCGAAAUGUCAUAGAAAUAUUUGAUGGUGAUUUUGGCAAUGAGCAAAAGAUUGGAGAAAUUAUGAAGAAUUCAACUUCUGAAACUGUCGAAGAGCUUUAUCGUACUUCAAAGGAACCACACACGUUAACCUUACACAUACAUGCUUCUGUGGCCAGUCGAGACUAUGGUUUCAUAGCAGAAGUUGUCACUUUGCCGCAGUCAUCCACAGGAAUUAUUGACAGCAGAAUCCAGCAUACUUUGCAAAGUACGUCAUUACAAAGAAAUGAGGAUGGCGCCUUCACAUAUCGGAAUGUUGGUGAGAUAAACCCAUCAGUAAAAUUAACGAAAUGUUUGGUUGAAGACAACGGUGUUCGAAUUUUGAAUCUGACUUCUCCACCAGUGGUUGACAUUUAUUUGCAGAACACGAAAAUGAUGUCCUUUGCAAACAACUUUUUGUUGGGAAACGCUGGUGGAAGCAGUAUGAUCCUCCACACCAAAUCGUUUGCCACGGCUAUUGAGGCAAAUAUCACAAACAACAUCUUUUCUUCAGGUACUCACGGUUGUACGUUGACUGUUAGUGGCCACAACUAUCAAAAAGUACUCCUUUAUGAAAACUACUUCUUUAAUAAUUCUGUUGGCGAUGACCAGGAUAUUGUUCAGCUGAAAGGCGUGACGACUAAUUUUACUUCAAACUUCUUUCAUAACAAUACAGCUUACAGUAUAUUGUCUGUGUUUGCCCUUGAAAAGGUCUCCUCCCCACACAUGUACACAAGGAGUGCUUUCACCAAAAAUAAUUCCACAGCCCUUUAUGAAAGUACUGUUAAGGUCCACAGUGGCAAACCUGUGUUUUAUAAUAACUAUUUUGUCAAUCCUGAGAAUGUGUAUGAAUUUGAAGCAAACCCUGUGUCCAAGUAAGUUACAAUUUCUUUUUUAUAUUAUUUAAAUCUCAUUUCAAAUAUGUUCUCGUAAUGACCUUCCCUAGGAUGCACACUGCCAUUUUUCAAAAAGGGAAGGACACAAUAAUGUUCUCCUAAAUGCUUUGUUUGAAAAAAAAAAAAAGGUGGCCGAUAGGAUGAUCGUAGCUGGAUCAUAAUUGGCCUUGGGCUAAAGAAUAGCAAUAACAACAACAACAACAAAGUAUUCCAGUGCUCUACCACCACCUUAAUGUCACUAAAUAAUAAUAGUAAUA